GAUCAAUUUAAUCUCACAAAUAUGAAACAAAUACACCAACAUAUUAUGUGAAUAAGUGUGGACCACUCUGUAGCUAUUCUACACGGAUGGAACUAUACCUUAAUUUAUUUUAGAUUUAUGCCCCCUUUGUUUCUGAAAGGAUGUGAGGCAGUGAACAGAAUUCAAAUGGUUUAAAGUUGCAAAAGGCACCUGAAAUGUACCACCAACAAAUCAAUAAACUCCAUCAAAACCUAAACAGCCUGUGCUUUUCAGUUUCUGGGCCACGUUUGCGGUUUCUUAAGGGAAAAUGGACUCAGCUUCCUCUUCUCCAUUCUCACAGGCGUCUCAUAGGGAAGUGGGCGCUGUCUGGGUCGUCGUUAAUAAGCACACUAACUUGCAUGGGCUGGGCUUCUAACCCGCUCACAGCAGCGAUGUGUCAGUGAACCUGCACGGAGCCCUGUUGUUGCUGUGGACUUGAUACAAUGAGUGAUAAUAUUUGUAAGACUUUAGAUCUGGAAUAUAUCUAUUUUAAAAAGUAGAUAAGGUAUUAAGAAUAUCACUAUAUAUGUAAAAAAUAGCUCUAGAACCUUUUUUUUGACUAGAAAGAACUUUCUACCACAACUUGUAUUAUAGUAAAUGACACUCCAAAUGAUGAC
This 635-nucleotide long non-coding RNA is filed under the name Bos taurus (domestic cattle). RNAcentral's name for it is "long non-coding RNA NONBTAT006579". Lineage: Eukaryota; Metazoa; Chordata; Mammalia; Artiodactyla; Bovidae. The record is from RNAcentral.